This is a small nucleolar RNA of Lepisosteus oculatus (spotted gar), 268 nucleotides long. NCBI's taxonomy places the organism in Eukaryota, Metazoa, Chordata, Actinopteri, Semionotiformes, Lepisosteidae. The record is from Ensembl.
GGUCUGUGAUGUGAAGUAAAAGGUCUGAUGCCCACUGUCCUGUCCCAGCAACCCUUUGGCUCCCAGAAGCCCCUGCUCUUCUUCCAUCAUGCUCUAGAUAUGCAUGUUGGGCACAGGUGCUUCUGACAGCCUGGAUGUCCUCUUGACCAUUUCACCCAGAGACCGUGGUGUUGAAUGCAUGAAUGACAUCCAACACCUCAAAGCAUUAAGGAGCUUUUGGGUCUGUUGUGAGGACUGGAGCCUGAUCUCAAGUUUUCAAGCUGAGACC